This 492-nucleotide ribosomal RNA is filed under the name uncultured bacterium. RNAcentral's name for it is "partial 16S ribosomal RNA". It matches the Rfam family "Bacterial small subunit ribosomal RNA", at positions 29 to 507 of the family's 1533-position model. The record is from RNAcentral.
AGUGAACGCUGGCGGUAGGCCUGACACAUGCAAGUCGAACGGCAGCACAGUAAGAGCUUGCUCUUACGGGUGGCGAGUGGCGGACGGGUGAGGAAUACAUCGGAAUCUACUUUUUCGUGGGGGAUAACGUAGGGAAACUUACGCUAAUACCGCAUACGACCUACGGGUGAAAGCAGGGGAUCUUCGGACCUUGCGCGAUUGAAUGAGCCGAUGUCGGAUUAGCUAGUUGGCGGGGUAAAGGCCCACCAAGGCGACGAUCCGUAGCUGGUCUGAGAGGAUGAUCAGCCACACUGGAACUGAGACACGGUCCAGACUCCUACGGGAGGCAGCAGUGGGGAAUAUUGGACAAUGGGCGCAAGCCUGAUCCAGCCAUACCGCGUGGGUGAAGAAGGCCUUCGGGUUGUAAAGCCCUUUUGUGGGGAAAGAAAAGCAGCAGGUUAAUACCCCGCUGUUCUGACGGUACCCAAAGAAUAAGCACCGGCUAACUUCGUG